This 62-nucleotide transfer RNA is filed under the name Urocitellus parryii (Arctic ground squirrel). RNAcentral's name for it is "Spermophilus parryii (Arctic ground squirrel) tRNA". It matches the Rfam family "tRNA", at positions 1 to 63 of the family's 71-position model. Rfam says of the family: Transfer RNA (tRNA) molecules are approximately 80 nucleotides in length. The record is from Rfam by way of RNAcentral. RNAcentral also lists the same sequence under 2 other names. Lineage: Eukaryota; Metazoa; Chordata; Mammalia; Rodentia; Sciuridae.
GGGGUUGUGGCUCAGUGGUAGAGCACUUGCCUGAGAUGUAUGGGGCAGUGGGUUCAACCCUU